GGUUAAGCGACUAAGCGUACACGGUGGAUGCCCUGGCAGUCAGAGGCGAUGAAGGGCGUGCUAAUCUGCGAUAAGCGCCGGUAAGGUGAUAUGAACCGUUAUAACCGGCGAUACCCGAAUGGGGAAACCCAGUGUGAUUCGUCACACUAUCAUUAACUGAAUCCAUAGGUUAAUGAGGCGAACCGGGGGAACUGAAACAUCUAAGUACCCCGAGGAAAAGAAAUCAACCGAGAUUCCCCCAGUAGCGGCGAGCGAACGGGGAGGAGCCCAGAGCCUGAAUCAGCAUGUGUGUUAGUGGAAGCGUCUGGAAAGGUGCGCGAUACAGGGUGACAGCCCCGUACACAAAAGCGCAUGUGCUGUGAGCUCGAUGAGUAGGGCGGGACACGUGGUAUCCUGUCUGAAUAUGGGGGGACCAUCCUCCAAGGCUAAAUACUCCUGACUGACCGAUAGUGAACCAGUACCGUGAGGGAAAGGCGAAAAGAACCCCGGCGAGGGGAGUGAAAAAGAACCUGAAACCGUGUACGUACAAGCAGUGGGAGCACAGGUUUACCUGUGUGACUGCGUACCUUUUGUAUAAUGGGUCAGCGACUUAUAUUCUGUAGCAAGGUUAACCGUAUAGGGGAGCCGUAGGGAAACCGAGUCUUAACCGGGCGUUAAGUUGCAGGGUAUAGACCCGAAACCCGGUGAUCUAGCCAUGGGCAGGUUGAAGGUUGGGUAACACUAACUGGAGGACCGAACCGACUAAUGUUGAAAAAUUAGCGGAUGACCUGUGGCUGGGGGUGAAAGGCCAAUCAAACCGGGAGAUAGCUGGUUCUCCCCGAAAGCUAUUUAGGUAGCGCCUCGUGAAUUCAUCUCCGGGGGUAGAGCACUGUUUCGGCUAGGGGGCCAUCCCGGCUUACCAACCCGAUGCAAACUGCGAAUACCGGAGAAUGUUAUCACGGGAGACACACGGCGGGUGCUAACGUCCGUCGUGAAGAGGGAAACAACCCAGACCGCCAGCUAAGGUCCCAAAGUCAUGGUUAAGUGGGAAACGAUGUGGGAAGGCCCAGACAGCCAGGAUGUUGGCUUAGAAGCAGCCAUCAUUUAAAGAAAGCGUAAUAGCUCACUGGUCGAGUCGGCCUGCGCGGAAGAUGUAACGGGGCUAAACCAUGCACCGAAGCUGCGGCAGCGAACGUAUCACCCAAGACAACUUUACGGAGUUGACGAUUGACGGAGCGAAGCGACGUCAAAGCGUUCAUUAAAGUCGAGUUGGCUUAGGGAUACGUUCGUUGGGUAGGGGAGCGUUCUGUAAGCCUGUGAAGGUGUGUCGUGAGGCAUGCUGGAGGUAUCAGAAGUGCGAAUGCUGACAUAAGUAACGAUAAAGCGGGUGAAAAGCCCGCUCGCCGGAAGACCAAGGGUUCCUGUCCAACGUUAAUCGGGGCAGGGUGAGUCGACCCCUAAGGCGAGGCCGAAAGGCGUAGUCGAUGGGAAACGGGUUAAUAUUCCCGUACUUGGUGUUACUGCGAAGGGGGGACGGAGAAGGCUAUGUUGGCCGGGCGACGGUUGUCCCGGUUUAAGCGUGUAGGUGUGUGUUCCAGGUAAAUCCGGUUCACUUUAACACUGAGGCGUGAUGACGAGGCACUACGGUGCUGAAGCAACAAAUGCCCUGCUUCCAGGAAAAGCCUCUAAGCAUCAGGUAACAUCAAAUCGUACCCCAAACCGACACAGGUGGUCAGGUAGAGAAUACCAAGGCGCUUGAGAGAACUCGGGUGAAGGAACUAGGCAAAAUGGUGCCGUAACUUCGGGAGAAGGCACGCUGACACGUAGGUGAAGUGAUUUACUCACGGAGCUGAAGUCAGUCGAAGAUACCAGCUGGCUGCAACUGUUUAUUAAAAACACAGCACUGUGCAAACACGAAAGUGGACGUAUACGGUGUGACGCCUGCCCGGUGCCGGAAGGUUAAUUGAUGGGGUCAGCGCAAGCGAAGCUCCUGAUCGAAGCCCCGGUAAACGGCGGCCGUAACUAUAACGGUCCUAAGGUAGCGAAAUUCCUUGUCGGGUAAGUUCCGACCUGCACGAAUGGCGUAAUGAUGGCCAGGCUGUCUCCACCCGAGACUCAGUGAAAUUGAACUCGCUGUGAAGAUGCAGUGUACCCGCGGCAAGACGGAAAGACCCCGUGAACCUUUACUAUAGCUUGACACUGAACAUUGAGCCUUGAUGUGUAGGAUAGGUGGGAGGCUUUGAAGUGUGGACGCCAGUCUGCAUGGAGCCGACCUUGAAAUACCACCCUUUAAUGUUUGAUGUUCUAACGUGGACCCGUAAUCCGGGUUGCGGACAGUGUCUGGUGGGUAGUUUGACUGGGGCGGUCUCCUCCUAAAGAGUAACGGAGGAGCACGAAGGUUGGCUAAUCCUGGUCGGACAUCAGGAGGUUAGUGCAAUGGCAUAAGCCAGCUUGACUGCGAGCGUGACGGCGCGAGCAGGUGCGAAAGCAGGUCAUAGUGAUCCGGUGGUUCUGAAUGGAAGGGCCAUCGCUCAACGGAUAAAAGGUACUCCGGGGAUAACAGGCUGAUACCGCCCAAGAGUUCAUAUCGACGGCGGUGUUUGGCACCUCGAUGUCGGCUCAUCACAUCCUGGGGCUGAAGUAGGUCCCAAGGGUAUGGCUGUUCGCCAUUUAAAGUGGUACGCGAGCUGGGUUUAGAACGUCGUGAGACAGUUCGGUCCCUAUCUGCCGUGGGCGCUGGAGAACUGAGGGGGGCUGCUCCUAGUACGAGAGGACCGGAGUGGACGCAUCACUGGUGUUCGGGUUGUCAUGCCAAUGGCACUGCCCGGUAGCUAAAUGCGGAAGAGAUAAGUGCUGAAAGCAUCUAAGCACGAAACUUGCCCCGAGAUGAGUUCUCCCUGAGACUUUAGGUCUCCUGAAGGAACGUUGAAGACGACGACGUUGAUAGGCCGGGUGUGUAAGCGCAGCGAUGCGUUGAGCUAACCGGUACUAAUGAACCGUGAGGCUUAACCUU
Molecule: ribosomal RNA, 2992 nt
Filed under: Salmonella enterica
Lineage: Bacteria; Pseudomonadati; Pseudomonadota; Gammaproteobacteria; Enterobacterales; Enterobacteriaceae
Also listed under: 1 other name
Description: 23S ribosomal RNA
Rfam family: Bacterial large subunit ribosomal RNA
Source: RNAcentral